Long non-coding RNA from Orcinus orca (killer whale), 1837 nucleotides. RefSeq lists it as uncharacterized. The record is from RefSeq and is a predicted model, not a curated record. Lineage: Eukaryota; Metazoa; Chordata; Mammalia; Artiodactyla; Delphinidae. The transcript is spliced from 3 exons.
UUGUCCAUUUCCUGUUCAUUUAGGUGGCUUCUGUUCUGACCUAAUGUCAAGCUCACAGAGGAUGCUCAAUGAAUAUGUGCAUGGCGACUAAAUGCUGAGAUCAAGAGAUGGAGAGGAAAACAAAAUGAAAGAAGGAAGGCUUAAUAAGAACCAGAAAUUGAAGUGGGUACAGAGGAGAGGAACUGCACAGGGCCAUGAGCUAUACAAAUGGAGCAUUAGAAGAUUCUGGCUGCAGAACCUUGGAGUAGCUGCCCAGCUGACUUGAACUUGUCAAGACAGACCCGAGAAUAAGGCUGUAGCACAGACCGAGAACGUAAUUUGUGCACUUCAGACUGCCGUCAAAGGGCCUCAACCAUGUUUUAAGAUUACGACCUAAAGGAGAGCCUUCAUUUCACUUGAAUGUUGACAGCAGAGAAGCCCAGCAGUGAACCCAGACGAUCCCUCUGGCUUCGGGAUGACUCACUCUGAUGCCUCCUCCCCCAGCACAUGGGCCACGUAGAUGAUGUCAGCGUACCCCAUGCAGCUGGAGAUGUUGUUUCAGAUAUAGUAGAAGAGAAAGAUGAGGCACAUCUCAUUAACGGUGCUGGGACCCCCCUGGAGAAGAAGAGAGAGAGAGAGAGAUGGAGAGACAGAGAUACACAGGCAUGCAGAGAGAGAGGAACAAGGUAGGCAGAAACUAGAUUAGGUGAUCAUUCUACCAAUGAGACUGUUUUCCUUUUCCCUUAACCUUGAGCCAGCUCACUAAUUGUUAUUUACUACUUCUCACCACAUUUGCUUUCUCCUCCUGUGUUUCUAAUUGGUGGACAAUUAUUGAUAUUAUUUCCAAAGAAAUAUCCCACGUAUCUUCCCCAUCCUCUACAUUUCCAUUGUUAUUGCCCUGGUUUGAGAAAAGAUGGUUGAGAAGAUGAGAUAAGAUACCGAGUUUCCCAAAAAAGCCACUCCCUUGAGCUUCCCUGGAAUUCCCCAUCUCUACAUGUCAAAAGCAGGACCCACUCAAAUAUGUCACAUGUUCAGGUCACUGUAAUAGGACCUGAUGAUUUUUUUCCCCUGUGAAUUCCCCUAGUGCGUUUUCCCCAUACUUCUCUUACGGUGUAUUUUACUUUCUAACUUGUGUUGUAAUCAUUUGUAUGGCUGUAUUUUCUUCCUUGGAAGCAUGCAAUCCAUUUUGAAUCCUACAGACACUGAGACAUUCCUGACACACAAAAUAUGGGUUCCUUGUGACAGUAAUAAUAAUAGCUAACUCUGACAAUCUACUAAAAGUCGGGCAAUGAUCUAGAUGUUUUAGGCGUGUUAAUCAACUCUCCCCUAAAUCUUAUGAGAUAGAUAGUAUUAAUUCUUUUGAGAAUUAGGAAACUGAGACACAAGGAAUCUGAAUAAUUUGUCUAAGGUUAUGAAGUUAUUAAUGAUCAUGUUGACAUUCAGACCCAGGCGAUCAGGCCCAGAGUCCACGCUCUUAGACACUAUCACAUGCUUUCCUUUCAUAAUCUUAGUGGGUUGUUGACAGAGAAAACGGGAAUCCUUGUACCCAUCUUACAGUCAUGGAGAUGUGAGAGCAUGAAGCCCCAUGUGCCUGGGUAAUACCAUUGGAGAAAGAAAGGGGCUUCAGCUGGAAUAAUCUGAGUCACGUGAUGGCCAAGGCCAGGGAUGGGGCUCUAUUCUGAGGCUACUGUCAUUGACCACGAUGGGGAGAGAGGUACUUACAAAAGUCAAGGAGUCGUGGUCCAGCGUCUGAUGGUGACACCCUACCAACAAUUCAUCUCCCUGUGCAGAGCGAAACAAAGGCUCAAAGUAAGACACAGAGGGACUGGUACAGUCCUCUUGGCUAACAGUAAUGAGU